UACGGGGGGGGUAAGCGUUGUUCGGAAUUACUGGGCGUAAAGGGCUCGUAGGCGGCCAACUAAGUCAGACGUGAAAUCCCUCAGCUUAACUGGGGAACUGCGUCUGAUACUGGAAGGCUUGAAUCCGGGAGAGGGAUGUGGAAUUCCAGGUGUAGCGGUGAAAUGCGUAGAUAUCUGGAGGAACACCGGUGGCGAAGGCGACAUCCUGGACCGGUAUUGACGCUGAGGCGCGAAAGCCAGGGGAGCAAACGGG
RNAcentral lists this ribosomal RNA (253 nucleotides) under uncultured bacterium. RNAcentral's name for it is "partial 16S ribosomal RNA". It matches the Rfam family "Bacterial small subunit ribosomal RNA", at positions 524 to 776 of the family's 1533-position model. The record is from RNAcentral.